Molecule: ribosomal RNA, 835 nt
Filed under: uncultured archaeon
Lineage: Archaea
Description: bacterial SSU rRNA
Rfam family: Archaeal small subunit ribosomal RNA
Source: RNAcentral
CUGCUCAGUAACACGUGGAUAACUUAACCUUAGGUCCGGCAUAACCCCGGGAAACUGGGGAUAAUUCCGGAUGUAUCAAGGAUGCUGGAAUGCCCUUUGGUUCAAAGCUUUUGUGCCUAAGGAUAGGUCUGCGGUCUAUCAGGUUGUAGUGGGUGUAACGUACCUACUAGCCGACGACGGAUACGGGUUGUGAGAGCAAGAGCCCGGAGAUGGAUUCUGAGACAAGAAUCCAGGCCCUACGGGGUGCAGCAGGCGCGAACACUUUACAAUGCGGGAAACCGCGAUAAGGGAACCCCGAGUGCCAGUACUAAGUGCUGGCUGUCUAGAUGAAUAGAUAUCAUUUAAUAGCAAGGGCCGGGCAAGACCGGUGCCAGCCGCCGCGGUAACACCGGCGGCCCGAGUGGUAACCGAUAUUAUUGGGUCUAAAGGGUCCGUAGCCUGUUUAAUAAGUCCUUUGGGAAAUCUGGCAGCUUAACUGUCAGGCUGCUAAAGGAUACUGUUAAACUUGGGACCGGUAGACGUAGGGGGUACUCCAGGGGUAGGAGUGAAAUCUUGUAAUCCCUGGGGGACCAUCUGUGGCGAAGGCGCCCUACGAGAACGGGUCCGACGGUGAGGGACGAAAGCUAGGGGAGCAAACCGGAUUAGAUACCCGGGUAGUCCUAGCUGUAAACGAUGCUCGCUAGGUGUCAGGCACGGUGCGUCCGUGUCUGGUGCCGCAGGGAAGCCGUUAAGCGAGCCACCUGGGGAGUACGGUCGCAAGGCUGAAACUUAAAGGAAUUGGCGGGGGAGCACUACAACGGGUGGAGCCUGCGGUUUAAUUGGAUUCAACGCCGGA